GUGGGGAGCCGGGUUGCCAGAGAAAACACAGGACAUCCAGUGAAGUCAGGUGCCUCCUGACCCAGCAGACCCCCAUGAGCCCAGAUCCCUGAGACCUGGUGGCUGCCAUUAUGACAUUCCCCGACUGCAUCUUAGGACCCAAGUCUGACCCCCUGCAGGAUCUGCAGCUGUGUUACAGGAAAGGGGACCCGAUCCAGACCCCAAGGGAGGGUUCUUGAAUCUCGUGCAAGAAACAACUCGGGAUGCAGUUGCUGUGGUUCACACACCUCUGGCAGCUGGGCUCCUUGGGAUCUCCUGACAUUCUGUGCCCUCUGUGCCCUCCUCCCUCACUGCCAUCGCUGUCUUCCUGAGCCUCCUCCUUCUGAAUUUCUUCAUCACCAAGAAGAGGAAUCGCUGUUAGGUUUGGCUUUUGGGAAAGGGAUGGACCAGGCAGGCAGUAGGGAGGGAGACACAGGCCCUGGCAUGGGCGAUGGG
Non-coding RNA from Saimiri boliviensis boliviensis (Bolivian squirrel monkey), 474 nucleotides. The record is from RefSeq and is a predicted model, not a curated record. NCBI's taxonomy places the organism in Eukaryota, Metazoa, Chordata, Mammalia, Primates, Cebidae.